CCUACGGGUGGCAGCAGUGGGGAAUAUUGGACAAUGGGCGAAAGCCUGAUCCAGCCAUGCCGCGUGUGUGAAGAAGGCCUUCGGGUUGUAAAGCACUUUCAGUGGGGAAGAAAGCCUUGGGGCUAAUACCCUCGAGGAAGGACAUCACCCACAGAAGAAGCACCGGCUAACUCCGUGCCAGCAGCCGCGGUAAUACGGAGGGUGCGAGCGUUAAUCGGAAUUACUGGGCGUAAAGCGCGCGUAGGCGGUCUGAUAAGCCGGUUGUGAAAGCCCCGGGCUCAACCUGGGAACGGCAUCCGGAACUGUCAGGCUAGAGUGCAGGAGAGGAAGGUAGAAUUCCCGGUGUAGCGGUGAAAUGCGUAGAGAUCGGGAGGAAUACCAGGGGCGAAGGCGGCCUUCUGGACUGACACUGACGCUGAGGUGCGAAAGCGUGGGUAGCAAACAGGAUUAGAUACCCCUGUAGUC
RNAcentral lists this ribosomal RNA (465 nucleotides) under Vreelandella stevensii. RNAcentral describes it as "partial 16S ribosomal RNA". It matches the Rfam family "Bacterial small subunit ribosomal RNA", at positions 338 to 795 of the family's 1533-position model. The record is from RNAcentral. Lineage: Bacteria; Pseudomonadati; Pseudomonadota; Gammaproteobacteria; Oceanospirillales; Halomonadaceae.